This 497-nucleotide ribosomal RNA is filed under the name uncultured bacterium. RNAcentral's name for it is "partial 16S ribosomal RNA". It matches the Rfam family "Bacterial small subunit ribosomal RNA", at positions 28 to 507 of the family's 1533-position model. The record is from RNAcentral.
GAUGAACGCUGGCGGCGUGCCUAAUACAUGCAAGUCGAGCGAACGGACGAGAAGCUUGCUUCUCUGAUGUUAGCGGCGGACGGGUGAGUAACACGUGGAUAACCUACCUAUAAGUCGGGGAUAACUUCGGGAAACCGUAGCUAAUACCGGAUAAUAUUUUGAACCGCAUUGUUCAAAAGUGAAAGACGGUCUUUCUGUCACUUAUAGCUGGAUCCGCGCUGCAUUAGCUAGUUGGUAAGGUAACGGCUUACCAAGGCAACGAUGCAUAGCCGACCUGAGAGGGUGAUCGGCCACACGGGAACUGAGACACGGUCCAGACUCCUACGGGAGGCAGCAGUAGGGAAUCUUCCGCAAUGGGCGAAAGCCUGACGGAGCAACGCCGCGUGAGUGAUGAAGGUCUUCGGAUCGUAAAACUCUGUUAUUAGGGAAGAACAUAUGUGUAAGUAACUGUGCACAUCUUGACGGUACCUAAUCAGAAAGCCACGGCUAACUACGUG